GGAGAGGUGUCCGAGUGGCUGAAGGAGCACGCCUGGAAAGUGUGUAUAGCGCAAGCUAUCGAGGGUUCGAAUCCCUCUCUCUCCG
This 85-nucleotide transfer RNA is filed under the name Idiomarina aquatica. RNAcentral's name for it is "tRNA-Ser". It matches the Rfam family "tRNA". From Rfam's summary of the family: Transfer RNA (tRNA) molecules are approximately 80 nucleotides in length. Their secondary structure includes four short double-helical elements and three loops (D, anti-codon, and T loops). Further hydrogen bonds mediate the characteristic L-shaped molecular structure. tRNAs have two regions of fundamental functional importance: the anti-codon, which is responsible for specific mRNA codon recognition, and the 3' end, to which the tRNAs corresponding amino acid is attached (by aminoacyl-tRNA synthetases). tRNAs cope with the degeneracy of the genetic code in two manners: having more than one tRNA (with a specific anti-codon) for a particular amino acid; and 'wobble' base-pairing, i.e. permitting non-standard base-pairing at the 3rd anti-codon position. The record is from RNAcentral. Lineage: Bacteria; Pseudomonadati; Pseudomonadota; Gammaproteobacteria; Alteromonadales; Idiomarinaceae.